This 199-nucleotide long non-coding RNA is filed under the name Nicotiana benthamiana. RNAcentral describes it as "long non-coding RNA (NBEN_LNC041614)". The record is from RNAcentral. Lineage: Eukaryota; Viridiplantae; Streptophyta; Magnoliopsida; Solanales; Solanaceae.
CAACUAAUCUCAGCUUAACUUCACUUUCUCGUGUUGACCAAACUUGCAUGAAGUAAACUCCAUGAGAAAAGACGUUCAUGAAAAGGGGCAUUUUCACUUGACCAAAUUCUCUCAUCAUCAUUGUUUUGUACACCUGUCAGUAAACUCCGACAAAAACCUAGCUGGAUAAGGUGAUAUUGCCACAAUCUACCCCCACUAU